RNAcentral lists this long non-coding RNA (4877 nucleotides) under Sus scrofa (pig). RNAcentral's name for it is "lncRNA (ENSSSCG00060058169.1)". The record is from RNAcentral. Lineage: Eukaryota; Metazoa; Chordata; Mammalia; Artiodactyla; Suidae.
UUUUUUUUUUUUUUUUUGCCUUGAAGAGUGAAAAUAUUAUAAAGUGUAGGAGUGAAUAAAUAAAUGAUGGUAUGUUUCUAUAAGGAAAUUCAGCCAAUAGUAAUGGCAUUAUGGGAGAGUAUUUCAUGACAUUGAAAGAUAGUAACAUUGUUUUAAGUGAAAUAAACUGUCUACAAUAUAUGUGUAUAUAAAUAAGAAAGCCUGUUUUCUCACACCCUCCCACCAUGGUAUGACCCUAUUUUUUUAAAAUAUACACACACAUACAUACAUACAUACAUACAUAGAUACAUUCAUGCCCACACCAGAGCAAUUAGUUUGUUAAGAGUAUGGACUGUGUCAAUCCUGGCUUUGAAUCUCAGUUUAAGGGCUUUUAAAUCUUAGGUAAAUUACUUACAUUUUCUCUGUUUCAUUUUCCUAUCUUUAGAAUGAGGACAAGCUGACAUCUCACUUUCAGGCUCAAUUCUUCUUAAUGUAGUAGGUAUUUAAGAAGUAUUUAUUGAGUGAACAAAGUGUCCAUUACUGCUGAUACCCAGGUAGUUAUUAUUUUAUAUUAAAAACAGAAUUUAAAUGUUUGAUCUAUCAGCUCUUUCAACGAACUUGGAAAGAAAAUUGAAUUGCUUUAGAAGGAUUAUUUUUAAUUGAUUUUAAAUUUACAUACAGUAGAAGACAUUCCUUGUGUUAUGCCUCUGUGGGUUUCGACAAAACCGUAGAGUUGUGUAACUACCUUCACAGUCAUGAUAUAGGGCACUUGUAUGACCUCAAAGCUUCACUUUUGAGUCCUUCUCUGUAGUCAGCCUUUCCUCUUAGCCCCCAGUCUCGGGCAACCACCAGUUUGUUUUACAUCCUGAUAGUUUUGCCUUUUCCAGAAUGUCAUGGAAAUGAAAUUAUACAGUAUAUAGCCUUUUGCAUCUGGCUUUUCUCAUUUGGCAUAAUGUACCUGAAAUUCAUCCAUGCUCUAGCCUUUAUCAAUAGUUCAUUCUGAAGAUAAUUGCUAUUAUUUAUGAAAUGUCUGUAUCAUAACCACACAAGUUUUUUAUCCCAGAGUUUGUCCUGAAGCCAGAGUUGUGACAGUAUAGAAUGUUAACAACAAAGAAAACUUGAGAAGCCUCCUGGUCUAACUCAGCUUCUUGAGGAGUGUGUGUGUGUGUGUGUGUGUGUGUGUGUGUGUGUGUGUGUGAGUCUGAUGUAAUAUAUUGGGUUGAAGUGAUGACCUUAAAUUAUUUUUAGAAGGAAAACAAACCAGUACUUUUUAGUUUUGUUUAGAUUGAGAAGAAAGGGCUUUCUAUCAUUUUUUUUUUUAAUGUGAAGUAUAGUUGACAGAAAUAUUAUAUGUUAUAGGGCAGGAUAUAGUGACUCAAUUUUUAAAGUUUAUACUCCAUCUAUAGUUAUAAAGUAUUAGUUAUAUUCCCUGUGUUGUACAAUAAAUCAUUUAAGUUUAUUUUAUACACAAUAGUUUGUACCUCUUAAUCCCCUACCCUGAUAUUGCUCCUCCUCCCUCCCUCUCCCCACUGGUAACCACUAGUUUGUUCUUUAUAUCAGUGAACUGUUUCUUUUUUGUUAUAUUCAUGAGGUUUUUUAAAAAAUUUUUUAGAUUCCACAUAUAUGUAAUAUACAAUAUUUGUUUUUCUCUGAUUUAUCUCACUCAGCACAAUACCCUUUAAGUCCAUCCAUGUUCUUGUUUUAAAUCGCAAGGGGUGAUAAUAUAAUCUACCUCAGUUUUCUAGCAUUCAUAGUAAGCACUGGUUUGGAGAAUGGCCAGAAGUUAUCAUAGUUGUUACUUUCACCCCUGGGGCAUAUAACAUUUAGGGUAAUUGGCCAGAUUAGCAGGUAUUUGGUCCUGUCCAAAAUUCCAUUAGACAUUUAGGACAAGCCAAAAAGUUCUUGAUAUUUGUCCUUGUCAAGAACCAUUGGCACGGACCAAAUAUGCUCAUGGACAUUUUGGGUAGGACCAGAUUUCAAGGAACUUUUGGCAUGGACCAGGUAACUUUAUGGACAUUUUGGACAGGACCAAAUAGGACCAAAUAUCAGAGAUCUUUUGUUAUGGACCAGAUCUCUUAUGGAUAUUUUAGACAGGAGCUAAUGUCCUACCAGAAUUGUCUAAGUCUUUUAAACAUGUAAGCUUGAUCUGAUGAGCCCCAGAUCCCCAGAGAAAGAUCACACCAGAUCCUAAAGUGUAUAGAGGUAUGUACCUAAAUUAGAAUGAGUGCUUUAGUUGUUUAUUAUGUAUCCUGUUUAUCUUUUAUUUCUAAAGGCAUAGUACUACUUUAUUUAAAAAUAACUAGAUAGCUAUGGGCUGUGGGAUGGAAAUCCUGUGAAAUCAGAUUGUUAUGAUCAUUAUACAUCUACAGAUGUGAUAAAUUCAUUUGAGUAAUAAAAAAAAACUAGAUAACAUAUAAGUACCAUAUUAAUUAUAUCUUUAUAAAGGUAGCUCUAUUUCUUAAAAAUUGAAUUAGUUUUUUAAAAAUGUUAACUUGAAUUUAUAUUGAAUAUCCAUUUUUAUUACAUAAUAUAAUAAAAUAAAUAUUUAAUCUUAAGGAAAAUUCAGAGUUAUGCUUUAUAAUAUAAAAAACUAUAAAUGACAUCAAGCAUUUAUUUGCAUAUUUAAAUUUGUCACAGUAAUGGCAUGUUUAUACCCAUGUGUGUAUCAAUUGAUUUUUUUUCUACCUUAUUUUAAAAGCUCCCUUUUUUUUCUUUUUUCAUUUUCAACUGCGCUCGUAGCGUAUGGGAGUUCCCAGGCCAGGGAUGGAAUCUGAGCCACAUCUGUGACCUACGUCACACCUGUGGCAAUGCCGAAUCCUGAACCCACUGUGCCAGGCCAGGGAUUGAACUGGUGCCUUGACAGAGGCAAGCUGGGUCAUUGACACAUUGUACCACAGUGAGAACUCUCCAAACCUCCCUUUUAAAAUAUUUUUUAGCAGUUGAAUGAAUGUCAUGGAUAAAGAACUUAGUUUAAGCAUGCAAGGUGAUUUAUAUAUUUGCUCUGUUUAUAAUAACUUCAAUUAAAAUCUUUGGUAAAUAUGGUAGUUGUCAUAAGGAAAUAUGUUAUUUGCCAUGUUCAAAUCUGAACUCACGGAAACAAUUUUUAAGGGACUGUAAUUGUGUCUUUGGUUCGGUAUUUCAUUUCCGUUUAUAGUUCAAACAUUUGUUGUACAUUUCUGUGUGGUUUAUAUAUUUUUUUCACAUCACUGCCACAAGACAUUCAGUUAGAGUUUUAAGCUGAAUUUUUUUUUUAAUAAUUCAUCCCUUAAACUUCCUUCCACCCUUUUGUAAAGCCUCUACUGCCAAGGAUAUGGAAAUUAAGCAGAGACUGAGCUAAGUGUUAUGGUAAUUGACAAACUAGUUUGGUUAGAUAAGUCUCCCAGUUGGCGUGUCAGCACAAAUUAGUCUAGCCCAUGGAGAGAAGAAAGUAGAAAAUAAUGUCCCAAAAUGCUAAGAAAGCAAUGAGCUGUGACAGAGAAAGGGCCUGAGAUACCAUCCCUGUACUGAAUUGAAGGGAGAAUCAAGAAUGUCAAUCUUAGCUAUUGAAAUUGCCUUACAGUACAUGGGAGGUGCUAAUUUGCUCAGACAUCUUUUGGCAACGUUGCAUGUAAAAUCUGCUGAGUCCUCUUGUUAUUUAUGGGCAGUAAUACCUUUAACCAGAGAGCUAUCUUUCUGGACUUGCCGCUUUCUGAGAAUAAAGGCUCGAGGAAUAUGGGAGAUGUCAGUAGCAACAGGCAACUUGAAUUCCUCAAGAUAAAGACCAUGGCUGGGAAGAAUUGAACAGGCAAGUGAAGGUGACUGACUCCACAUUAAUAAUAAAUUUAUAAGAGUACAGAACAAAUCAUACCAGGCCAUCUUUAUCGUUUUCUAGGUGGAUGUGCAAGAUUAAAGAAAGGAAUUCAAUAGCUGUAAUAUCUGGAAUUGAGUAAAUCAUCUAAUUCAGUGUCUCCACAAAUCUUUGGGGGCGCAGGGGAUGGGGAGAACCUCAAUGAGAAUUGGCUCAGAGUACUGUCAUGUGGAUUCAAUUUGGUGGUUGUAAUAAAUUACAAUACAACAAGGUCCAUUGGGACAAUGUGGGGAUCAAUAGAAGGUCAGUCUGUAACAUCUCCAGCAGAGGUCUGGAAGAAUGGAUAACACACUUUAUUAAGCUUGGCAGGCCAGGAGGUUUUGGUAUUGUUGUGGUCACCACCACUGUCAUUAGCCUUUAUGAAGCACCUGUUGUGUAUGGGGCACUCGAGUGGCUGCCAGUAGAGAGAUAGAAUGUGUACAAUUGUCCAAAUGGUCAACUUGUUUUAAAAUGAUAACAGGUACAAUUUACCGAAUGUUUAUACAGCUGCCAUGCCUGGUGGUAAGCCUUUUUCAUGGGUUGUUUCCUUUAACUCGAGGUGGGGUUUCUCUCUCCAUUUUGUGAAUGGGGAAGGUGAGGUAUAGAGAAUUAUUGUGAGUAAUGCAGAUGUUACAUAGUAGCAAGAGAUUAUGAAAUGAAGUAGUCUUGCUUUUUACUCUUAACCACUUUCUAUACAUACAGUAUCCCUACGUGCUCAUGGGGAAAAGUGUAUUCAUUUGUUAGUUCAUUUAUUUGUUCAUUCAUUCAGCAAACAUCCCAAAUAUACUUAAGAUGUUCCUGGUAGCAGAGCAGACAGAACCUAUUCAAAGAUAAUUUUCCAGAGGUCCCAUCGUGGCUCAGCAGAAACAAAUCUAAUAUCCAUGAGGAUGCAGGUUCAAUCCCUGGCCUUGUUCAGUGGGUUGAAGAUCUGGCAUUGCUGUGAGCUGUGGUGCAGGUCACAGAGUGGCUUGGAUCUGGUGUUGCUGUGGCGGUGGUGUAGGCCAGUGGCUACAGCUCUAAUUCAACCCUUAGCUUGGGAACCUCCAUAUGCCACAGGUACAGCCCUAAAAAG